GUCUAAAGCCAUAUCACCCUGCAUGCUCCCAAUCAUCUGGUCUUGAAAGCUAAGCAGGAUCAGGCCUGGUUAGUGCUUGGAUAGAAGACAGAUCUUCAGAAGAGACU
RNAcentral lists this ribosomal RNA (107 nucleotides) under Castor canadensis (American beaver). Lineage: Eukaryota; Metazoa; Chordata; Mammalia; Rodentia; Castoridae. The record is from RNAcentral.